GGGCAGGUGGCGAAACGGCAGACGCGGCGGACUUAAAAUCCGCUGACCGCAAGGUCUUGAGGGUUCAAGUCCCUCCCUGCCCACCC
Molecule: transfer RNA, 86 nt
Filed under: Elusimicrobiota bacterium
Lineage: Bacteria; Pseudomonadati; Elusimicrobiota
Description: Elusimicrobia bacterium (groundwater metagenome) tRNA-Leu
Rfam family: tRNA
About the family: Transfer RNA (tRNA) molecules are approximately 80 nucleotides in length. Their secondary structure includes four short double-helical elements and three loops (D, anti-codon, and T loops).
Source: RNAcentral